This is a non-coding RNA of Nicotiana tabacum (common tobacco), 1772 nucleotides long. The record is from RefSeq and is a predicted model, not a curated record. Lineage: Eukaryota; Viridiplantae; Streptophyta; Magnoliopsida; Solanales; Solanaceae.
GUCUACAAUCUCUAGACCAUCUUCCAAAAUAAGAUUUAGUGUUUUAUGAAUUAAAUAGAAGAUAUUAAGGUUCAAAAUGCAGAAAUAUGAAAAAAAAACACAAGGCGAAUAAUCUUAUGGCUGGUAUUUCAUGAUAAAUAAAAAAAAGGUAGCCCCGGUGUAUAUAUUUGACACUCCAGAUGUCGAGAAGGAACCGAACAGCUUUUGACACUCCACGACUUGGUUUUAGUGUGGAUCAGCUCAUGGUUUGUCUUCUUAACUUUGGUCUUAUAAUUUCUACUUAUCCCCUGAAAUUGGGUUUACUUGUUUUGAGUUUAGGAAUUGGCGGGCUCGAGUGUUGCCUCUACAAUUGGAGAGGUAAGUGGCUAUGUUAGCAUACUAGUACAAUAUUGUUUUACGGGGGCCAGUUCCACUUGUAUCUAGUUUUUUAUACUGCGCAGAGUCCAUCUGAACUCUCCAUCUACUUUCGACUCUGCCACCAGUGGGAAAACAAUAUAUUUGCAAGAAGGUGGGUUACAUGUUCUAUCAAUAAUAACAAAUUUUUGAAAGCACUUUAUGUCUACUGACAUUGUGUUAUAUUGGUGUGACCAUUAGUCAUAAUUGACAUAGACUUCUUUUAGAAUAGUCAUAAUUAACUUAUAUAUGGAAAUGUCAAAUUGCUGGUUCAGAAAUUCUGUCUAGAUGAGUUGUUGAAGAGGCGCAUUUAGACUAGAUGAGGUUGCAGGAUUUUGGUAUUUCGUGCUCAGAGUCCAAGGUUCAGUUUCGCCAUGAUUAAGUUAAAAUGUGAAGAGAGAGAGAGAGAAUGAAGUUAAAGAGGAAGUGCCAUGAUUACUUUGAUGACUCUCUUAAAACCUCAAAUGGGCAGGAAGAAUAAAAAACAAAUGAAAGAAACCUCAAGCGAAUAUUUGCUUUCUGUUAUACGGACUUAUAGCUUUAUUCCCAACAAUCCAAUAGCUCAUAUAAUGCUGCACAAUCUAAUUUUUCCUUCACUCUCUGAAGGAAAACGAAGUCAUUUGUAGGUAAGAGUGGAGGGAUUUGUGGAGCGAGUUUCUGAGGAGGAAUCUGAACAAUACUUCUCUAGUCUUUCUCGAGAUAUCCAGAUUAGAGUAAGCAGACCAGACCGAUUCAUGGAAGAGAGUUUCUCCGUCAACAGUACAGAGAACUAGAGGAGAAGUAUCAUGACAGUGGCUAUGCUGCUCUAAAAUUUAGGUGAUGAAGAAUCCAACUUUUAGAUUCGCAUCCAUGUCGGGUUACCACACCCGUAUCCUACCAACAUAGCCUAGCGGAAGUAUUCUAUUGAUUGGGAUACAGAACUUCAAUACCAAGACCCAAACAUUGGGGUGGUUACUGGCUUAUUCCAGAGUUUUUCGAGUUUUGGCAAGGGAGAGGAAUCUCAGAUUGCGGCUAUUCUGCGGAGGAGGUUGAUGGAAGAAGAGUAUGGAGAAUUCAUAGAUUGGUCCCACGAUUAGCAGAAUCAGCAUCUUCGUUGUGAGUUGCCCUCGUUGAAAGUUGGCAACUUAUGCAUCACGGCAUGACAGGCAGCUAGCAAUUAGAAUUUAGAUCUUUCCUUUUCUUGUCUCCCCUUCUGAUUUCAGCCCUUGGGAGGUAAUAUUUCUGGGGUGGUGUGUAUAUAUCUACUUCUAUUUGGGACGAGUCUUUUGUUCCCUUUUCCUUUUCAGGUCAUUAAGAUUUGUGUAAAAUGGCUUUCUCUACGUCUGUUCCACCUGACAUUUUUAGAUGAUGUAAACUUUGAGUGGAAAUGGAGUACCAGA